This is a long non-coding RNA of Zea mays, 545 nucleotides long. RefSeq lists it as uncharacterized. Lineage: Eukaryota; Viridiplantae; Streptophyta; Magnoliopsida; Poales; Poaceae. The transcript has 2 exons. The record is from RefSeq and is a predicted model, not a curated record.
CACUCCACCCCAUCCCCUGCUCUUCCCCAUGGCCGAGCACCCCUUCCCUCUGUCCAGGGAGCAUGAGCUCAAGCGCGCACCCUCCCCCUGCUCACCUCCGCCACUCAGCGCUCGGCGCCUUGGCAUCGGCCACGCUCGACGUCCGCUCGAGCCUCAGUCGCGUUGCCCUGGGCUAGCGCCUCUUCUUCCCUAGGCCGCGCCACCAUCCCUACUCCGGUUCCUCCCCCAUCGGAGCUCGCCGGUCACCGUCCCUGGUGCGCUUCAUCGCCGGCCGGACCACCAUGUCCCUGCGCAUGGCGGUUCCAAGUUGCCUUUAGUGCAAUCUAUGCUCGGGUAAAGAAAGAGAAGAAGGCAUCGAGGUGGAUCUCCAGGAGUUCUAGGACGUUGAUGAGUUCGAGGAUUAGGCUAGUGACCUCCCCCAGUCAGAUGCCUGUGGUGGGUUGUUUACGUUGGCUACGUUUCGAUUCUGUGUACUUUGAUUUAUAUUAUGUAAAUGGCUCUAGUCUGUAAAAUUAUUACUUACUCUUUAUUGUAAUUUGAAGCAU